Long non-coding RNA from Euleptes europaea (tarantolino), 319 nucleotides. RefSeq lists it as uncharacterized. The record is from RefSeq and is a predicted model, not a curated record. NCBI's taxonomy places the organism in Eukaryota, Metazoa, Chordata, Lepidosauria, Squamata, Sphaerodactylidae. The transcript has 6 exons.
AUCGCCUCUGUGUGUGCCUCUCUUUCAGAACCAAGGAGUGAACCAACACACGACCCCUUCAAUUAUGAUUAUUACUCCCUGAGAAUCGGAGGGCUGGUUUUUGCCGUCAUCCUGUUCUUGCUCGGUAUUCUCAUUGUGCUCAGUCGACGGUGCCGUUGCAAAUUCAACCAGCAACAAAGGACGGGGGAACCUGACGAGGAGGAAGGGACCCUGCGCAACUCAAUCCGGCGCUUGUCCACCAGGAUGAGAUAGAAGAAAAUCGGAACAGGCUGCCCUGGAGAUGCUGCCGUCCACUGGAUCUACACAGCGCUGCCCUCCC